AUUGAACGCUGGCGGCAGGCUUAAUACAUGCAAGUCAAGGGGGUAGCAAUACAACCGGCGCACGGGUGAGUAACGCGUACACAACAUACCAUAUACUGGGGUAUAGCUUUGGGAAACUGAAGGUAAUCCCCCAUAACAUUGCGAGAGGGCAUCUGAUUGCAAUUAAAGUUUCGGCGGUAUAUGAUUGGUGUGCGUUUGAUUAGCUAGUUGGUAGGGUAACGGCCUACCAAGGCGACGAUCAAUAGCUGGCGUGAGAGCGCGACCAGCCACACUGGAACUGAGACACGGUCCAGACUCCUACGGGAGGCAGCAGUAGGGAAUAUUGGACAAUGGAGGAAACUCUGAUCCAGCCAUGCCGCGUGAUAGAUGAAGGCCCUCUGGGUUGUAAAUAUCUUUUAUCUGGGGACGAAAAAAAGGGCUUUACUAGCUCACUUGACGGUACCAGAGGAAUAAGCACCGGCUAACUCCGUGCCAGCAGCCGCGGU
RNAcentral lists this ribosomal RNA (485 nucleotides) under uncultured bacterium. Its description in RNAcentral is "bacterial SSU rRNA". It matches the Rfam family "Bacterial small subunit ribosomal RNA", at positions 30 to 521 of the family's 1533-position model. The record is from RNAcentral.